AAAAAGGUGCAUUGAAUAGCCUGGAAGAAAAUGUGCAUGAGCAAACAGGAUGGCGGAAUGGGCUUCCGGCACAUGGAGGCUUUCAAUCAAGCGUUGCUUGCAAAGCAAGCUUGGAGGAUUCUGCAAGUCCCGUCCUCCCUCUGUGCUAGGGUUCUCAAGUCCAGGUACUACACAGAUGGAUCAAUACUUAAUGCAACUUGCGCGAGUGGUGGGUCAUAUACAUUCUGAAGUAUUCUGCAUGGUAGGCACUUGUUGCUGGAAGGACUGAUUUGGAGAGUGGGCGACGGUACACGAAUCCGCAUCCAUCACGACAGCUGGAUACCACGCAAAGGAAUCCUGAGGCCACUGAGGCGUGUGUGA
Molecule: ribosomal RNA, 360 nt
Filed under: Triticum aestivum (bread wheat)
Lineage: Eukaryota; Viridiplantae; Streptophyta; Magnoliopsida; Poales; Poaceae
Description: partial small subunit ribosomal RNA
Source: RNAcentral